GCGUAGAUCGGAAUAACAAGACUUUUGUGGCGGCAAGGAUCGUGGCGAGUUGGAUCGGAGAUGAUGGAAAGGUGAAGAGGCGGAGAAGAAGGAGUAGACGCCGAGAGUUUCGGCGUCGUGCUCGCUGUGGUUCUCUAGGUGAGAAGCCAAAUAUUAAUCCCCUUCAUCUGAUCAAGUUUUGCGGAUUAAAUCGCUUAUUUGGGAUUGGGUUUAGUGGAGAAAUUCUCGAAGUCAUUUACGUUCAUGUUCUGAAAUUCUCGUCAGACUGAGCAGUCCAUGUUCAUCGUAAUGUUAGGGCAUUUUAGAGUCUUUAAUAAUUUUUGGGUCUGUGGACAAAGUUGUAGAGGACUUCAAUAUAUUUCUUUGGACGCCAAGAAUUCUAUCAUAGCAGUUAUAAUUUGUGAGAUAUCGAGUUUUCAAUCUGACUGGUUUCCAGUGACGAAAAUCUGGACAGUUUUGGAUCUAAGCAGUUUUUGACCCUGUUAAUUAAAUAAUUAGGUCUUUGAUUAUUAACAAAGGUUUUAGGAUUUUUGUUAAGCUUUCUAGAUUGGUAAAGUUUGUAACUUUUGAAUCAGUAUAUCUCCUGUUAUGAAUUUUUGAAGUUUGAUGUUCUGCUUUGAAGGUCAGAAAUAUUCAGUUGUGUUCGAUGGUUAAUUAUACCAUCUUGCAGAUCUUUGAUGCAAAACCUUACAAUAAAAAAGUUGUAUAUAACAGAGUUUUACAUGAUUUGAUAAAUUGUGGUAAUUUUUGGAUGAGUAUUCUGAAGUAUAUGAAAAAGAGAAGAGUCGGUGCUGCUGUCUUGAUCGGUAGCGCAAACGGUAGAGGCUUGAAUGUCGGGUUUGGGGCGCUUUAGUGCGUAUUUGUUCUUACUCUUGCUUGUAUGUUGGUGUAUGUACUAAUUAGUAUUUGUGAUCAGGUGGUAGCACUUCGGAACAUCGCUAGUGCUUUUGUUCUCCUUCGGUAAAGAGGCAAGUGAAUGUAGCGGUGGUUUGCUACCGUUUUGGCUUGUUAUUUUUAUCACCUACAGUUUAUUGUCUAUAAGAAUGUCACCUCUCUCAUAUCUAAAAUUUAUGAUUUGGGUAUAUUUAGUCAUAGUUAAAUUAUGGUCUUAUUUAAGUACUUAUGGUGAUGGUAUUAUUUUAUAUUGUUAUUUGUGGCUAGCCCGCAAACCUGAAUUUUAAGUUGGAGUAUCAUUGGUGAUUAUUAAUUUUAUUGCAACAUGCCAAGUGCAUUGCAUCAUUCAUUGGCAUUGGAAGUUAUGUCUUGACAUAUGGUCAUGACUGUACCGGUACGCAUCAUGGGAUGCAGCUCCACACCUUGUUGGGUGUGCAGGCAGGAGACAUAUGCAUUGCAUUCAUAUGCAUUCAUGAGAAGUAUGUUAUUGAAGGGAUUUUAUCCACGUUAUUAUGAAGCUCUGUAUUAUUGGCUAUGUUCCAAAUUGGAAGACUGUUACAUUAGUAUGAUAUUUUGUCAAUUGGGAACAUCAUAUUAAAUUGAUGUUAAUUCAAAUUGUGGUUUAAAUAGCUUGUCAAAACAAGUUCGCUUGCUGAGAUGUUUCAUCUCACCCUUGCUUUAUUCAAUCCAGGUACUUGAUGCUUACUUGGAAGGGAACGGAAUUAGCUGCACGUCACACACUUAUUCAUUUAGAGACCUUGUGUUUUAAUAAAUAAUAAUUUGGUUUGCUUAUUGGUUUUGAAGGCGAUUGUUAAAGUGUGGGUGUUAAACUUAAUUCUUGUUGAAGUAACUUAUUUGCGUUAGGAUGUUCAUUAAUCCUAGUUUGGUAUUUCAGUAUUUUUUAUAUUUUAUUCUUCUGCUUGCUAUAAAUACAAAGAAGAUGCUGCCAAAUUGUUUAUUGGUUGUGUGCAGCUGUUGUUUGUGUAGUCUAGUAGCAUCCCGGUGUAUUUGUGGUUUUCGGGGUGUUACAGUUGGUAUCAAAGCCAGGUUUUAGAUUCUCGGAAAAAAGUAAGAUUUAAAAUUACACACUUGCACAUGUAAGUUGGGUAUGGAUUUAUAUGUUAGGCAUACCUUUUGAUGCUAAGGUAUUUGUUUUUCUUAUGUAUCCAUAUGCCUAUGUUACAUAUCAUUGCUAUUGUUAACUUUAAGUCAUGUGUAAAUUUUAUAGGCUUUGUUUACCUAAUUUUUAUUUGUUGUUGCCAUAUCUUGUAUAUAUUAAAUAUGAUCUAGUGCAUAUUAGUUAUUCUUACAAGUACAAACUUGACAAGUUUUGUCGCUAUGAUGUUUUGCAUAAGUGUACCUUUAAAGUAUUGUAGUUUUAUGUGCUUGAGUAGCGAAGAUGAUGAAUGUUCUUUAUGUUUUGUUGAUAGCAAAAGAUCUUGGAACCUCGUAGAGUAGCUAUAGUUUAGUAGUACAGAUGGGCGGAGUGGAGGGCCCCCACAAUGCUUUUUCUGCACUACUAUGUGAGGGUUUUCUGAGAGAUAGGUAGCGACCCAACUAUCUGUAUUCGAAGAAAAUAGUUGAGUGACGGGUGGAUUGGCCCCCAUGCCGUGCACUCUAGCUAUUCUCUCUCGACAUAUUGAUUGGUGGGACGUUGUGUGACUUGCCCUAUAUGUUCAUGUUGUGAUGUAUAAACCUAAGCCUAGAAUGGUGUAGGUUAUGCCAUGGUGCAGUUGUAACCUUACACAGGUCAUAGUGAUUCAGUGAUAGAAGUGCAUAUUAAGAGUUACAUGUGGUUUGAGGGUUAUAUGCAAUCAUGUGUUUUUUUUGUCGAGUGCAUGCUGGUUAUCUAAUUAAUUUCUAGUGUCCAAGUAUGUGAGCUUACCCUUGUAAUGCUUGGGUGAAGUGUUUGCUUGAAGACAUGAUUUUACUGUGUUCUAGGUCAUGACUACUUUAUUAUAAGUUGCUUUAAAGUUGUCGUUUUUAUUUUGAGUAGGAUUUGGGUUUACUAAGCGGAGAAGUGCCUGAACUCUAGAAGUCAUAUUUGUUGCUAGUGCAUGAAUAGAUAUUUAGAAGAGUUGGUUAAAUUAGUAUUCAUGAUUCCAUAAGCGUUUAUCCUUAACAUGAUGUUCAUGUUCUUUAAAAAUGUGAAGUUGUCUCACUUCAUUCCUUAGCCGUGGCUAUUGUUUGACUGAACUGAUCUAAUUCUUUAUGUGCAUGCUUAAUAUGUCAUCUUCAACUUACUUACAUGAUUUGGUUGAAUUAGUCCUUGUAGAUGGCUUCUUGGGUUUGCAAGUCAUUUUUUUACUUGUGUGGUAUUUAUCUUUGUAGGUCAUACAUAUGUUGUCUGUGUUUAGUGUUGUUCUAGAAUUCAUGGACGAAUUCUUUUUAGUGUAUGUUAAGAAGCACAAAGUGGUAAAUGGUCCAAUGAGAGUUUUUUGAGUUGCAAAAAAAAUAUCCAAUGCCCGGAUGGAUGAUUAGAGACCAUAGUUGCGUAGAGCUCGAUGAACUCUUUCUGUUCGACUUCACGCGUUGUUUGGAGAUUGAUUUGCUCAACUAGGGCUGAUACAGUAUUUAUGGAAGGGAAAUAUAUAGUAGACCAUCAAUAAAUCGUGCUACGGUAUCAUAGUUGGCCGUAUUGCGAGCGUUUCUGGUGACUUUUCACCUAUGUCUCUUCUUUUCCUUUUUUCCUUGCCCCUAAUCCUCCUAGGACUCCCAUUUCUUUUUCUAAGACUUUGGAUUCAUGUUGUCUGCUGCUGCCAUUGACUAACCAGAGAAGGGAGGAAUGAUAGAGAAAAUAAGAAAGACAAGUGAAUGAGAAAAAAGGGAUUGCACAAACCCUAAGUUUUUUUUAUUGCAUAAUCUAGGUGAGAUGAAUCUUAUUUAACCCCCUUGCUUUGGAUUAGAUUUAUACCCUGGUUUUUUUUGUUAGAUUAGAUGGGGUAGUUCUCAUCAGUGAUCAUGUCCACAUCCUGAGAAUUUAUGAGGUUGUGUAGUCUGUGUUCAUUGCCAUCUUUAUUUUUGUUACAGGCCGAAUUGGCCAAACCAUUGAACACCAAAUUUAAAGAUAUUUUCUUUAACCAUCUGUAAAAUUUCAUGAUUUUAGGCUAUGUGGUUUGAGAUUUUUUUUACUAUAGUUGUUGCCGUUUCCAUGUUGUUCUAGAUAGUAAUAGAUUGAUCCAGUUUUUGUCAAUGCUAAAGGUCAAAUCAGUCUUUAUAAUGAAUACCAAAGUUGUAGUGUUUUUUACUAUCUUUCCAAUGGUGUAUGAUUCAGUGUCAUAUCUGAAAUAUAAAUUUAGAUUUAUGCUUUUGAAUUGAGUUUGUGAUUUCUGAUGUCAAAUUCUGUGUUCGAUGUUACUACCUUAACUAGAACAUCUUGAUGAUUUUUACUGAAAGUAUCUAUAGAACAAACGUUCUGUAUAAGACAAUUUUACAUGAUAGAGGUAAAGUUUCAUAAUUGUUGGUCAAGUGUUUUAUAGUAGAUAUCAAUAUUAUUUUGGUGACUAUUAGAAUUUAGGACAAAUUUCAUUUUUCUGAAUUCAACUCAGUUUAGGUAUGCUUAAAUUCAGAAUAAAAACAUUGUGUCUUCAUAAAAACUAUAAACCUUGUUUUGUAGUUUUCAAAUAUUCAUUUGUUUACUAUCAUUGCUUUUGAAAACUAAAGAUACAUAAAUAUCAAAAGGUUAUGCUGCUGUUAGCCAAAAAUAGUGUUGGUCAUUUUGUUUUUCUCAAUGGGUUGGAGUGUAGUGAUGCAUUACUUGUUAUUCAUAUAUGUUCAUGUUUGUGCCUAUAAGAUAGACAAAAUUGUAGGUUGCACCAUUGUUUCGGUUUGUUUUGUUUGUUUGGCAAAUUUGCCAAGCUUGAUAUAGUGUUUGUCCCAAUGGGGAGUAGCUAAGGUCACACCUGACCCUUUGAUAUGUGCAUGGUUGUCAUGCUAGUUGGUCUCGUUCCAUGAGGAAAAAGUUUUGAGGUGAAAGGAAGCAAGUGUUUUGUCUUCACUCAUAGAUGGGCACAUAGUCUAUGGUGUAUUAACAAGAACUAGUUUUGGCACGAAGUUCUGUUUCGUAGUUCAUGGUGCCACCUCAAGCUACUAGUUGGUUUGAGGCAAAUGUUGACCCAUGGAAUCAGUGAUCAUCAGUUGCUUGAUGGUUGUUCUAACCAGAAGUUUGGUAAUGUCCUCUAGGCAAAUUAAAUGUGAUAUACAAUCUUAUCAUUGAUUGUUCCCUGGAUGUUUCUUUGUCAAGUAAUUGGAGCACGUAGGAGGAUUAUGUCUAGCUCCUAGCUAGUUUAUUCCAGUCGAGCCUAUGAAAUUUCUUAGUUUGUUUCUUUUAUCAAGGAAUGAAAGGUCUAGUGGCUUGAUCAUUUAAUCGAGAAAGGCAGGAGACAUUUUUUUAUGGGCCACUUUAAGCUUGUCUUAGAAAUAACCUAUGUGUUUGUUAAGGCGGCAUUUUGUCAUCUUGUUCUUUGUCAUUGUAGGGAAGUUUGACAACUGUGGUGGAUUUUUUUUACAUGUCAGUUUGCUGCUGUAUGAAGAGCCAUCAAAGUAAGAAAGUGUGGCCUUAGAUUUUUUUAUAACCUUUAUGCUAUUAGAAUAUCCUUAUUGAGACCAUGAGUUUGAGUUCAAGCAUUGACUAUUCAUAGAUGAUCGAAAUUUCCGAGUUGAGUGUCCCAGUGCAUAUAUAUAUAUGAGUGUCAUUCGUUGGUGUUUGUGUUUUUGUUUGAAGUGCUUUUUACUGGGUAUCCAGAUCAAAAGUAUUCUCAGUAGUAGUUCCUUGCUUCAUAGCACGAGAUCUUGGCCAUGUUACAAGUGCAUCCUUUUGAGAAGAGUCUUAUACUUUUAGUUUGCUUAUAAUUGGAGGAAUUCGGGGACGAAUUCUUUUAAGGUGGUAGAAUGUAACAUCUUGAAUAUGUUUAUUGCGUUAGAAGUGUAAAGUGACAAAAUAAUAAUAAUUGUAAUUUUAUCCAUCACUCAAAUGAAUGAUCAGAGAUUUUAGAUGCGUAGAGCUCGUCGAAUGCUUUCAGUUGCACUACUCAUAUGUAUUGUUUGGAAUUUGGAUCAUGGAGAUAUAAAUUUCGGAAGUUUUAAGAAAGAAAAAAUAAACAGGUAGCGUUACGCUACAGUGCCGCGCCACUACAGUACCCGUGGUGGCCUUUUAUAUCCUCCUCUAAGGCCUUUAGGUUUCGUCCAUAGCUUUUCAUAUUCAGGAUAAAAAAAGAGGAGAGGGGAGAAAAGAGAAAGGAGUAGAGGGAAGGGGAGAAUAGGGCCUAGGGUUUUGCCGCCGCCGUUGCCGCCGCCGCCGUCGGUCAUCCGUGGUGGUCGUUCUUCCUCCCGUGGCGUAGAUCGGAAUAACAAGGCUUUUGUGGCGGCAAGGAUCGUGGCGAGUUGGAUCGGAGAUGAUGGAAAGGUGAAGAGGCGGAGAAGAAGGAGUAGACGCCGAGAGUUUUGGCGUCGUGCUCGCUGUGGUUCUCUAGGUGAGAAGCCAAAUAUUAAUCCCCUUCAUCUGAUCAAGUUUUGCGGAUUAAAUCGCUUAUUUGGGAUUGGGUUUAGUGGAGAAAUUCUCGAAGUCAUUUACGUUCAUGUUCUGAAAUUCUUGUCAGACUGAGCAGUCCGUGUUCAUCGUAAUGUUAGAGCAUUUUAGAGUCUUUAAUAAUUUUUGGGUCUGUGGACAAAGUUGUAGAGGACUUCAAUAUAUUUCUUUGGACGCCAAGAACUCUGUCAUAGCAGUUAUAAUUUGUGAGAUAUCGAGUUUUCAAUCUGACUGGUUUCCAGUGACGAAAAUCUGGACAGUUUUGGAUCUAAGCAGUUUCUGACCCUGUUAAUGAAAUAAUUAGGUCUUUGAUUAUUAACAAAGGUUUUAGGAUUUUUGUUAAGCUUUCUAGAUUGGUAAAGUUUGUAACUUUUUAAUAAGUAUAUCUCCUGUUAUGAAUUUUUGAGGUUUGAUGUUCUGCUUUGAAGGUCAGAAAUAUUCAGUUGUGUUCUAUGGUUAAUUAUACCAUCUUGCAGAUCUUUGAUGCAAAACCUUACAAUAAAAAAGUUGUAUAUAACAGAGUUUUACAUGAUUUGAUAAAUUGUGGUAAUUUUUGGAUGAGUAUUCUGAAGUAUAUGAAAAAGAGAAGAGUCGGUGCUGCUGUCUUGAUCGGUAGCGCAAACGGUAGAGGCUUGAAUGUCGGGUUUGGGGCGCUUUAGUGCGUAUUUGUUCUUACUCUUGCUUGUAUGUUGGUGUAUGUACUAAUUAGUAUUUGUGAUCAGGUGGUAGCACUUCGGAAUAUUGCUAGUGCUUUUGUUCUCCUUCGGUAAAGAGGCAAGUGAAUGUAGCGGUGGUUUGCUACCGUUUUGGCUUGUUAUUUUUAUCACCUACAGUUUAUUGUCUAUAAGAAUGUCACCUCUCUCAUAUCUAAAAUUUAUGAUUUGGGUAUAUUUAGUCUUAGUUAAAUUAUGGUCUUAUUUAAGUACUUAUGGUGAUGGUAUUAUUUUAUAUUGUUAUUUGUGGCUAGCCCGCAAACCUGAAUUUGAACUUGGAGUAUCAUUGGUGAUUUAUUAAUUUUAUUGCAACAUGCCAAGUGCAUUGCAUCAUUCAUUGGCAUUGGAAGUUAUGUCUUGACCUAUGGUCAUGACUGUACCGGUACGCAGCUCCACACCUAUGAUCAUGGGAUGCAGCUCCACACCUUGUUGGGUGUGCAGGCAGGAGACAUAUGCAUUGCAUUCAUAUACAUUCACGAGAAGUAUGUUAUUGAAGGGAUUUUAUCUACGUUAUUAUGAAGCUCUGUAUUAUUGGCUAUGUUCCAAAUUGGAAGACUGUUACAUUAGUAUGAUAUUUUGUCAAUUGGGAACAUCAUAUUAAAUUGAUGUUAAUUCAAAUUGUGGUUUAAAUAGCUUGUCAAAACAAGUUCGCUUGCUGAGAUGUUUCAUCUCACCCUUGCUUUACUCAAUCCAGGUACUUGAUGCUUACUUGGAAGGGAAGGGAAUUAGCUGCACGUCACACACUUAUUCAUUUAGAGACCUUGUGUUUUAAUAAAUAAUAAUUUGGUUUGCUUAUUGGUUUUGAAGGCGGUUGUUAAAGUGUGGGUGUUAAACUUAAUUCUUGUUGAAGUAACUUAUUUGCGUUAGGAUGUUCAUUAAUCCUAGUUUGGUAUUUCAGUAUUUUUUAUAUUUUAUUCUUCCGCUUGCUAUAAAUACAAAGAAGAUGCUGCCAAAUUGUUUAUUGGUUGUGUGCAGCUGUUGUUUGUGUAGUCUAGUAGCAUCCCGGUGUAUUUGUGGUUUUCGGGGUGUUA
This 8165-nucleotide long non-coding RNA is filed under the name Sorghum bicolor (sorghum). Its description in RNAcentral is "long non-coding RNA (SBIC_LNC014170)". Lineage: Eukaryota; Viridiplantae; Streptophyta; Magnoliopsida; Poales; Poaceae. The record is from RNAcentral.